GAGCAAUCACUCGGAUGAUCGAUUGAACACUCCUUCACCAAACAAGGCUGGAGGCCUGGGAUGGACACUGGUGGUUUGAGAUAUGCAGAAGAAAUGGGUCCUGCCCUCUGGAACACUCCAGAGAAUAUCAUGGCACUUUAUAACAUCAAUGUCAAUCAGCAUGGAUUGACAAGCCCCCUGGACUUUGGAUGACUUCUCUGAAGCCCCAGCUGUGCCUGGCUGGGCCAUCUCCCUUCUCCACUUGGCCGCAGCAUAAACUGCGGUCAAGCCACAAGAGUGACCUCAAGGCCUCAGGCCACUUUUCCAGCCUCAGCUUUUCUUAGGGGCCCAGCCCACUUACAACAGAAAUUUGCCAAAGAUUGGGUUGGUAAGUAAUGGAUAAGGUUUCAUAUUUACUAUUUUCAUUUCUGAAUCUCUCUUUACAUGCAUUUAAGCCAGGAAAUCCUGAAAGAACACUCUUCAGAAUGUUUUUAAGUAAAACAACAAGUUUUUGUUAAUUUAGGGCCAAUCCAUGAGUAAACAGAUAGAGCCUG
This 533-nucleotide long non-coding RNA is filed under the name Pongo abelii (Sumatran orangutan). RNAcentral's name for it is "lincRNA". Lineage: Eukaryota; Metazoa; Chordata; Mammalia; Primates; Hominidae. The record is from RNAcentral.